ACAGGCGGGAGUUAUGCGUCACGAGUCUCAGCAACAGAGGGACUUGCUCCCGGAGGUGGGCGGCGGCAGGGUGAGUAACACGUGGGCAACCUACCUGUAAGAUUGGGAUAACUUCGGGAAACCGGAGCUAAUACCGAAUAACAAUAAGAACCACAUGGUUCUUAUUUGAAAGAUGGCUUCGGCUAUCACUUACGGAUGGGCCCGCGGCGCAUUAGCUAGUUGGUGAGGUAACGGCUCACCAAGGCGACGAUGCGUAGCCGACCUGAGAGGGUGAUCGGCCACACUGGGACUGAGACACGGCCCAGACUCCUACGGGAGGCAGCAGUAGGGAAUCUUCCGCAAUGGACGAAAGUCUGACGGAGCAACGCCGCGUGAGUGAAGAAGGUUGUCGGAUCGUAAAACUCUGUUGUUAGGGAAGAACAAGUAUCGUUCGAAUAGGGCGGUACCUUGACGGUACCUAACCAGAAAGCCACGGCUAACUACGUGCCAGCAGCCGCGGUAAUACGUAGGUGGCAAGCGUUGUCCGGAAUUAUUGGGCGUAAAGCGCGCGCAGGCGGUUCCUUAAGUCUGAUGUGAAAGCCCACGGCUCAACCGUGGAGGGUCAUUGGAAACUGGGGAACUUGAGUGCAGAAGAGGAGAGUGGAAUUCCACGUGUAGCGGUGAAAUGCGUAAAGAUGUGGAGGAAACCCCCGGGCGAAAGGCGACUCUUCUUUGGUCUGUUACUUACCCCUAGGGGUGAAACGUUGGGGCAACAGGGAUUAUAUAUCCCCGGUCCCACCCCAACAAAUGCUAUGUUUAAGGGGUCGCCCUUUGUGCCAUCCAAAUCCCCCGGGACACACGACAAGAUGACAGCAGCCACACAAAGCUGUAUAACCAACAAACCACAUCUACACACACAUCAAAUUCUGUCUUCUCUU
This 917-nucleotide ribosomal RNA is filed under the name bacterium G12-21A. Its description in RNAcentral is "bacterial SSU rRNA". The stretch from base 1 to 808 matches the Rfam family "Bacterial small subunit ribosomal RNA", at positions 38 to 873 of the family's 1533-position model. The record is from RNAcentral.